GACGAACGCUGGCGGCGUGCUUAACACAUGCAAGUCGAGCGGUAAGGCCCUUUCGGGGUACGACGAGCGGCGAACGGGUAGGAGUAACACGUGGGUGGACCUCGCCCUCCAGCUCUGGGAGUAAGACCCGGGAAACCGUAGGGUCGUAAUACUGGAUAUGACUCCAUGACGCAUGUUGUGGGGUGGAAAGACCUUGUGCGGCUGGGGAGUGGGCCCGGCCGGCCUAUCAGCUUGUUGGUGGGGGGAUGGCCUACCAAGGCGACGACGGGUAGCCGG
This 276-nucleotide ribosomal RNA is filed under the name uncultured bacterium. Its description in RNAcentral is "partial 16S ribosomal RNA". It matches the Rfam family "Bacterial small subunit ribosomal RNA", at positions 28 to 290 of the family's 1533-position model. The record is from RNAcentral.